GUGGGGAAUUUUGGACAAUGGGGGCAACCCUGAUCCAGCCAUGCCGCGUGCGGGAAGAAGGCCUUCGGGUUGUAAACCGCUUUUGUCAGGGAAGAAAUCCUUUGGGUUAAUACCUCGGAGGGAUGACGGUACCUGAAGAAUAAGCACCGGCUAACUACGUGCCAGCAGCCGCGGUAAUACGUAGGGUGCGAGCGUUAAUCGGAAUUACUGGGCGUAAAGCGUGCGCAGGCGGUUUUGUAAGAUCGAUGUGAAAUCCCCGGGCUCAACCUGGGAACUGCAUUGGUGACUGCAGUGCUGGAGUGCGGCAGAGGGGGAUGGAAUUCCGCGUGUAGCAGUGAAAUGCGUAGAUAUGCGGAGGAACACCGAUGGCGAAGGCAAUCCCCUGGGCCUGCACUGACGCUCAUGCACGAAAGCGUGGGGAGCAAACAGGAUUAGAAACCCCUGUAGUCC
This 450-nucleotide ribosomal RNA is filed under the name uncultured bacterium. Its description in RNAcentral is "bacterial SSU rRNA". It matches the Rfam family "Bacterial small subunit ribosomal RNA", at positions 354 to 796 of the family's 1533-position model. The record is from RNAcentral.